UACGGAGGGUGCAAGCGUUGUCCGGAUUUAUUGGGUUUAAAGGGUGCGUAGGCGGCCCGUUAAGUCAGACGUGAAAUCCCUCGGCUUAACCGGGGAACUGCGUCUGAUACUGGAUGGCUAGAGAUUGGGAGAGGGAUGCGGAAUUCCAGGUGUAGCGGUGAAAUGCGUAGAUAUCUGGAGGAACACCGGUGGCGAAGGCGGCAUCCUGGACCAACACUGACGCUGAGGAGCGAAAGCCAGGGGAGCAAACGGG
This 253-nucleotide ribosomal RNA is filed under the name uncultured bacterium. RNAcentral's name for it is "partial 16S ribosomal RNA". It matches the Rfam family "Bacterial small subunit ribosomal RNA", at positions 524 to 776 of the family's 1533-position model. The record is from RNAcentral.